RNAcentral lists this ribosomal RNA (253 nucleotides) under uncultured bacterium. RNAcentral's name for it is "partial 16S ribosomal RNA". It matches the Rfam family "Bacterial small subunit ribosomal RNA", at positions 524 to 776 of the family's 1533-position model. The record is from RNAcentral.
UACGAAGGGGGCUAGCGUUGCUCGGAAUCACUGGGCGUAAAGGGUGCGUAGGCGGGGCUUUAAGUCAGGGGUGAAAGCCCGGAGCUCAACUCCGGAACUGCCAUUGAAACUGUAAGACUUGAGGAUGAGAGAGGUGAGUGGAAUUCCCAGUGUAGAGGUGAAAUUCGUAGAUAUUGGGAAGUACACCGGUGGCGAAGGCGGCUCACUGGCUCAUAUCUGACGCUCAGGCGCGACAGCGUGGGGAUCAAACAGG